This 298-nucleotide ribosomal RNA is filed under the name Escherichia coli. Its description in RNAcentral is "partial 23S ribosomal RNA". It matches the Rfam family "Bacterial large subunit ribosomal RNA", at positions 2655 to 2925 of the family's 2925-position model. The record is from RNAcentral. Lineage: Bacteria; Pseudomonadati; Pseudomonadota; Gammaproteobacteria; Enterobacterales; Enterobacteriaceae.
UGGAAGAUUGAGAGGGGCUGCUCCUAGUACGAGAGGACCGGAGUGGACGAAUCACUGGUGUUCGGGUUGUCAUGCCAAUGGCAUUGCCCGGUAGCUAAAUUCGGAAGAGAUAACCGCUGAAAGCAUCUAAGCGGGAAACUUGCCUCGAGAUGAGUCUUCCCUGGGGCUUUAAGCCCCCUGAAGGAACGUUAAAGACUAUGACGUUGAUAGGCUGGGUGUGUAAGUGCAGCGAUGCAUUGAGCUAACCAGUACUAAUGAUCCGUGAGGCUUAACCUUACAACACCGAAGGUGUUUUGUA